Molecule: ribosomal RNA, 378 nt
Filed under: uncultured bacterium
Lineage: Bacteria
Description: bacterial SSU rRNA
Rfam family: Bacterial small subunit ribosomal RNA
Source: RNAcentral
UAAGACAGAGGGUGCGAACGUUGUUCGGAAUCACUGGGCAUAAAGCGCACGUAGGCGGCUGGGUCCGUCCGAUGUGAAAGCCCCCGGCUCAACCGGGGAAUUGCAUCGGAUACCGCCCGGCUCGAGGAUGGUUGGGGUGAGUGGAACUCCUGGUGGAGCGGUGAAAUGCGUAGAUAUCAGGAGGAACACCGGUGGCGAAAGCGGCUCACUGGACCAUCUCUGACGCUAAGGUGCGAAAGCUAGGGGAGCAAACGGGAUUAGAUACCCCGGUAGUCCUAGCCGUAAACGAUGGGCACUGGGUAGGGGGGAUGCCUAUGCGCUUCCCUGCCGUAGCUAAUGUGUUAAGUGCCCCGCCUGGGGAGUACGCUCGCAAGGGUA